RNAcentral lists this transfer RNA (77 nucleotides) under Pseudomonas aeruginosa. RNAcentral describes it as "tRNA-Arg". It matches the Rfam family "tRNA". From Rfam's summary of the family: Transfer RNA (tRNA) molecules are approximately 80 nucleotides in length. Their secondary structure includes four short double-helical elements and three loops (D, anti-codon, and T loops). Further hydrogen bonds mediate the characteristic L-shaped molecular structure. tRNAs have two regions of fundamental functional importance: the anti-codon, which is responsible for specific mRNA codon recognition, and the 3' end, to which the tRNAs corresponding amino acid is attached (by aminoacyl-tRNA synthetases). tRNAs cope with the degeneracy of the genetic code in two manners: having more than one tRNA (with a specific anti-codon) for a particular amino acid; and 'wobble' base-pairing, i.e. permitting non-standard base-pairing at the 3rd anti-codon position. The record is from RNAcentral. RNAcentral also lists the same sequence under 3165 other names. Lineage: Bacteria; Pseudomonadati; Pseudomonadota; Gammaproteobacteria; Pseudomonadales; Pseudomonadaceae.
GCGCCCUUAGCUCAGUUGGAUAGAGCAACGACCUUCUAAGUCGUGGGCCGCAGGUUCGAAUCCUGCAGGGCGCGCCA